RNAcentral lists this ribosomal RNA (500 nucleotides) under uncultured bacterium. Its description in RNAcentral is "partial 16S ribosomal RNA". It matches the Rfam family "Bacterial small subunit ribosomal RNA", at positions 30 to 523 of the family's 1533-position model. The record is from RNAcentral.
AUUGAACGCUGGCGGCAGGCCUAACACAUGCAAGUCGAGCGGAUGACGGGAGCUUGCUCCUUGAUUCAGCGGCGGACGGGAGAGUAAUGCCUAGGAAUCUGCCUGGUAGUGGGGGACAACGUUUCGAAAGGAACGCUAAUACCGCAUACGUCCUACGGGAGAAAGUAGGGGACCUUCGGGCCUUGCGCUAUCAGAUGAGCCUAGGUCGGAUUAGCUAGUAGGUGAGGUAAUGGCUCACCUAGGCGACGAUCCGUAACUGGUCUGAGAGGAUGAUCCGUCACACUGGGACGGUGCCACGUUCCAGACUCCCGCGGGAGGCAUCAGUCGUGACUAUUGUACAACGGGCGGAAGCCUGCUCGAGCCAUGCCGCGUGUGUGAAGUAGGUCUUCGGAUUGUAAAGCACUUUAAGUUCGGAGGGAGGGUGGUACGUUAAUACCGUGCAAUUCUGGCGUUACCGACAGAAUAAGCAGCGGCUAACUCUCUGCCAGCAGCCGCGGUAA